Molecule: ribosomal RNA, 468 nt
Filed under: uncultured bacterium
Lineage: Bacteria
Description: partial 16S ribosomal RNA
Rfam family: Bacterial small subunit ribosomal RNA
Source: RNAcentral
GACGAACGCUGGCGGCGUGCUUAACACAUGCAAGUCGAACGGAAAGGCCCUGCUUUUGUGGGGUGCUCGAGUGGCGAACGGGUGAGUAACACGUGAGUAACCUGCCCUUGACUUUGGGAUAACUUCAGGAAACUGGGGCUAAUACCGGAUAGGAGCUCCUGCUGCAUGGUGGGGGUUGGAAAGUUUCGGCGGUUGGGGAUGGACUCGCGGCUUAUCAGCUUGUUGGUGGGGUAGUGGCUUACCAAGGCUUUGACGGGUAGCCGGCCUGCGAGGGUGACCGGCCACAUUGGGACUGAGAUACGGACCAGACUCCUACGGGAGGCAGCAGUGGGGAAUAUUGCACAAUGGGCGGGAGCCUGAUGCAGCAACGCCGCGUGCGGGAUGACGGCCUUCGGGUUGUAAACCGCUUUCGCCUGUGACGAAGCGUGAGUGACGGUAAUGGGUAAAGAAGCACCGGCUAACUACGUG